Molecule: transfer RNA, 70 nt
Filed under: Dipodomys ordii (Ord's kangaroo rat)
Lineage: Eukaryota; Metazoa; Chordata; Mammalia; Rodentia; Heteromyidae
Rfam family: tRNA
About the family: Transfer RNA (tRNA) molecules are approximately 80 nucleotides in length. Their secondary structure includes four short double-helical elements and three loops (D, anti-codon, and T loops). Further hydrogen bonds mediate the characteristic L-shaped molecular structure. tRNAs have two regions of fundamental functional importance: the anti-codon, which is responsible for specific mRNA codon recognition, and the 3' end, to which the tRNAs corresponding amino acid is attached (by aminoacyl-tRNA synthetases). tRNAs cope with the degeneracy of the genetic code in two manners: having more than one tRNA (with a specific anti-codon) for a particular amino acid; and 'wobble' base-pairing, i.e. permitting non-standard base-pairing at the 3rd anti-codon position.
Source: Rfam by way of RNAcentral
CGGAGUGUGGCUCAAUUGGUAGAGCUCCUGCCUAGUAAGCAUAAGGCUCUGAGUUCAAAUCUCAUUCUGU